GCUGAAAAGACACGUGUCCACCAAGACCUGCCUUUCUUACAUUUGCUUUUGCAGUUGAUCCAAAAGAAGGCAAAAACCCCAGUCUGAAGCGCUUCCAAUUGUGAACCAAAUUAGGAAAAAAAAUCCCCUAGAAUGGCAGUCAGAUCUCUCCUUGGAUCAAGAAGCUAUUACCACACUAAUUAAAAAUUAUAUCCCUGUAACAUCCUUAUUGUUCUUACUGUAAAAAACUCUUUCCUUUGCCUUAGACUAAAUCUCCGUUCUUCCAGUCUAAAUGUGUGACUUUGUCUCCUAUGUAUAGUCCUGUUUAUGAAUAGAUUUCCAGACAAUGGUUUGUAUUGGCCCCAAAUAUAUUUGUAUAAUGUUAUCAUAUCCCCUCUGAGGCAACAUUUUUCUUAACUAAACUGAUCUAAAUUUGUUAACCGUUCUUCAUAAUUAGAAUGCUCCAUUCAUUUGAUCAAUUUUGUAGAUAGCCUCUGCACUUGUUCA
This is a non-coding RNA of Pelobates cultripes (western spadefoot toad), 486 nucleotides long. The record is from the annotation of a GenBank genome assembly. Lineage: Eukaryota; Metazoa; Chordata; Amphibia; Anura; Pelobatidae.